GAUGAACGCUAGCGGCAGGCUUAAUACAUGCAAGUCGAGGGGCAGCGCAGUGUAGCAAUACAUGGGCGGCGACCGGCAAACGGGUGCGGAACACGUACGCAAUCUACCCAAAACUGAUGAAUAGCCCUCCGAAAGGAGGAUUAAUACAUCGUAACCUAUUAGAGUAGCAUUACUUUAUUAGUAUAGCUCCGGCGGUUUUGGAUGAGCGUGCGCCUGAUUAGAUAGNGGCGGGGUAACGGCCCACCAAGUCUGCGAUCAGUAACUGGUGUGAGAGCACGACCAGUCACACGGGCACUGAGACACGGGCCCGACUCCUACGGGAGGCAGCAGUAAGGAAUAUUGGUCAAUGGACGCAAGUCUGAACCAGCCAUGCCGCGUGAAGGAUGAAGGUCCUCUGGAUUGUAAACUUCUUUUAUAGGGGAA
This 423-nucleotide ribosomal RNA is filed under the name uncultured bacterium. RNAcentral's name for it is "bacterial SSU rRNA". It matches the Rfam family "Bacterial small subunit ribosomal RNA", at positions 28 to 446 of the family's 1533-position model. The record is from RNAcentral.